AGAGAGAGACAUGCGCGCAUAUCAAUAAGCGGAGGAAAAGAAACUAACAAGGAUUCCCCUAGUAACGGCGAGUGAAGCGGGAAGAGCUCAAAUUUGAAAUCUUAAAGGGUUUCCCUUUACGAAUUGUAGUUUAUAGAAGUGUUUUCUGUUGAGGUUUUGGUAAAAGUUCUUUGGAAUAGGACAUCAUAGAGGGUGAGAAUCCCGUAUUUGACCUUUACUUUCAACUUUGUGAUACACUUUCAAAGAGUCGGAUUGUUCGGGAAUGCAGUCCAAAAUGGGUGGUAAAUUUCAUCUAAAGCUAAAUAUUGGCGAGAGACCGAUAGCGAACAAGUACCGUGAGGGAAAGAUGAAAAGAACUUUGAAAAGAGAGUUAAACAGUACGUGAAAUUGUCAAAAGGGAAGCGUUUGACACCAGUGUUGUUUUUCUGAAAAUCAAUUAAAGAACUGUUUAUGCUAAGCUGUUUAGACUUUAUCAGCUAUCUGUUUAGUUUUGAGCUUUUCUUUAAUGCACUUUUCAGUUAACAAGUCAACAUCAAUUUCUUUUGCUGUAAAAAAGCUUGAGGAAGGUGGCUUGAGAUUCGUCUUAAGUGUUUAUAGCCUCUUGCCUAUGCAGUCGGAGAGAUUGAGGUCUGCAGCGUAGAUCCUUCGGGGCUAAAUGCAUUUGUGCUAAGUUAUAGCAUUUUAUAGACAACUUGUUGACUAUGAUUUGUCUUGUAGCUUACUCGCUUAUGUUAUUUUACCUACGCUUAGGAUGUUGACGCAUGAGAUAUACGC
RNAcentral lists this ribosomal RNA (774 nucleotides) under uncultured Neocallimastigales. Its description in RNAcentral is "partial large subunit ribosomal RNA". It matches the Rfam family "Eukaryotic large subunit ribosomal RNA", at positions 23 to 647 of the family's 3401-position model. Lineage: Eukaryota; Fungi; Neocallimastigomycota; Neocallimastigomycetes; Neocallimastigales. The record is from RNAcentral.